AAUUCUCAACUACCUCCAGUUUUGCGACUGGUUCGUGUGUUGGAUAGGUGGGGGUCUGCAGGCCUAUGGUCAGCUCCCCUGAAAUGCAUUAGCAGAACCAUUCACGGUCCGUCGCCGGUGUGAUAAUUAUCUACGCCACAGAUGAAGACUGUGUUUUGCCUGUUCAGCUUCCAAUCGUCUCUAUGUAGACAACUUCUGAAC
RNAcentral lists this unclassified non-coding RNA (201 nucleotides) under uncultured Lepiota. Its description in RNAcentral is "sequence contains ITS2". The record is from RNAcentral. Lineage: Eukaryota; Fungi; Basidiomycota; Agaricomycetes; Agaricales; Agaricaceae.